This 240-nucleotide unclassified non-coding RNA is filed under the name soil metagenome. Its description in RNAcentral is "partial contains 5.8S ribosomal RNA, internal transcribed spacer 2, and large subunit ribosomal RNA". The record is from RNAcentral.
AACCAUUCUCACCUGCGGCUAGACCUGCGGAAGGAUCAUUAAAAAGAGUGUGUACCCCUCUGUAAAAUGAGUGGGUUACCUCCCGUCCUUUGUUGACCUCUUAGGAGGUUAUUUUGAACUUUCUGCUUCGGUGGGGUUAAACCUACCGGAACACCCUCAAAUUCUUAUCAUUUAAAAAUUGUUCAGUCUGAUUUUUGUUAAUAAAAACAAAAAACUUUUAACAACGGAUCUCAGAUCGGA